This 100-nucleotide non-coding RNA is filed under the name Betaproteobacteria bacterium. Its description in RNAcentral is "TPP sequence". It matches the Rfam family "TPP riboswitch aptamer (THI element)". Rfam says of the family: Vitamin B(1) in its active form thiamin pyrophosphate (TPP) is an essential coenzyme that is synthesised by coupling of pyrimidine and thiazole moieties in bacteria. The previously detected thiamin-regulatory element, thi box was extended, resulting in a new, highly conserved RNA secondary structure, the THI element, which is widely distributed in eubacteria and also occurs in some archaea. Lineage: Bacteria; Pseudomonadati; Pseudomonadota; Betaproteobacteria. The record is from RNAcentral.
UCAUGCACGCAGGGGUCCGGGGCCGCGAAAGCCCCGGUGAGACAAACCCUUCGAACCUGAUCCGGAUCAUCCCGGCGUAGGGAGCGUGGCCCGGCCCCCG